AACGCACAUUGCGCCUGCCAGUACUCUGGCAGGCAUGCCUGUCCGAGCGUCAUUUCAACCCUCAGGCCAUGCCUGGUGUUGGGGUACUACGGCAUCUUGUAGUCCCUGAAAAUCAGUGGCGGGCUCGCUAUAUCUCCGAGCGUAGUAAUUUUUCUCGCCCUGGAACUGUAGCGUGUGCCAGCCGUAAAAGCUGUGUGCUUAGCACGACUUUUGAUGUUUGACCUCGGAUCAGGUAGGAAUACCCGCUGAACUUAA
This 255-nucleotide unclassified non-coding RNA is filed under the name uncultured fungus. Its description in RNAcentral is "partial contains 5.8S ribosomal RNA, internal transcribed spacer 2, and large subunit ribosomal RNA". The record is from RNAcentral. Lineage: Eukaryota; Fungi.